RNAcentral lists this ribosomal RNA (465 nucleotides) under uncultured bacterium. RNAcentral's name for it is "partial 16S ribosomal RNA". It matches the Rfam family "Bacterial small subunit ribosomal RNA", at positions 338 to 795 of the family's 1533-position model. The record is from RNAcentral.
CCUACGGGAGGCAGCAGUGGGGAAUAUUGCGCAAUGGGCGAAAGCCUGACGCAGCGACGCCGCGUGAGGGAUGAAGGUCUUCGGAUCGUAAACCUCUGUCAGCAGGGAAGAACGGUCACUGUGCUAAUCAGCAGUGAAUUGACGGUACCUGCAAAGGAAGCACCGGCUAACUCCGUGCCAGCAGCCGCGGUAAUACGGAGGGUGCGAGCGUUCAUCGGAAUUACUGGGCGUAAAGCGCUCGUAGGCGGUAUGUCAAGUCAAGGGGGAAAUCCCCGCGCUCAACGUGGGAACUGCCGUUGAAACUGGCAAACUGGAGUGUGUGAGAGGAUAGUGGAAUUCCAGGUGUAGGAGUGAAAUCCGUAGAUAUCUGGAGGAACAUCAGUGGCGAAGGCGACUAUCUGGCACAUAACUGACGCUGAGGAGCGAAAGCGUGGGUAGCAAACAGGAUUAGAUACCCCUGUAGUC